UAUGAUUUAGUUUAAUUAGAAUAACUAAUUGUCAGUUAGUGGGUGGUUUUCCUUUCGUGUUUAGGU
RNAcentral lists this transfer RNA (66 nucleotides) under Dugesia japonica. Its description in RNAcentral is "tRNA-Asp". The record is from RNAcentral. Lineage: Eukaryota; Metazoa; Platyhelminthes; Tricladida; Dugesiidae.